ACUCAAAGGAAUAGACGGGGGCCCGCACAAGCGGUGGAGCAUGUGGUUUAAUUCGACGCAACGCGAAGAACCUUACCAGGUCUUGACAUCCCCUGACAACAUCAGAGAUGAUGUAUUUUAUCUUCGGAUAGACAGGGAGACAGGUGGUGCAUGGUUGUCGUCAGCUCGUGUCGUGAGAUGUUGGGUUAAGUCCCGCAACGAGCGCAACCCUUGUUCUUAGUUGCCAGCAGGUAAAGCUGGGCACUCUAAGGAAACUGCCGGUGACAAACCGGAGGAAGGUGGGGAUGACGUCAAAUCAUCAUGCCCUUUAUGACCUGGGCUACACACGUGCUACAAUGGCCUGUACAAAGGGUAGCGAAGCAGUGAUGUGGAGCCAAUCCCGAAAAGCAGGUCUCAGUUCGGAUUGCAGGCUGCAACUCGCCUGCAUGAAGUCGGAAUCGCUAGUAAUCGCGGAUCAGCAUGCCGCGGUGAAUACGUUCCCGGGCCUUGUACACACCGCCCGU
Molecule: ribosomal RNA, 503 nt
Filed under: uncultured bacterium
Lineage: Bacteria
Description: bacterial SSU rRNA
Rfam family: Bacterial small subunit ribosomal RNA
Source: RNAcentral